RNAcentral lists this ribosomal RNA (217 nucleotides) under Clostridioides difficile. RNAcentral's name for it is "partial 23S ribosomal RNA". It matches the Rfam family "Bacterial large subunit ribosomal RNA", at positions 1982 to 2198 of the family's 2925-position model. The record is from RNAcentral. Lineage: Bacteria; Bacillati; Bacillota; Clostridia; Peptostreptococcales; Peptostreptococcaceae.
UCCGACCCGCACGAAAGGCGUAACGAUUUGGGCACUGUCUCAACAACAGACUCGGUGAAAUUGUAAUUCCGGUGAAGAUGCCGGAUACCGGCGACAGGACGGAAAGACCCCAUGGAGCUUUACUGUAGCUUGACAUUGGGUCUUGGUACUACAUGUACAGGAUAGGUGGGAGGCUUUGAAACCAGGACGCCAGUUUUGGCGGAGCCAUCCUUGGGAU